This 144-nucleotide unclassified non-coding RNA is filed under the name Rhodotorula toruloides. Lineage: Eukaryota; Fungi; Basidiomycota; Microbotryomycetes; Sporidiobolales; Sporidiobolaceae. The record is from RNAcentral.
CGGUCGAGCUGAUGCCGGCGUCGCUGUCCUCACAAGACGUUUCCUCGUCGGACUAGUUGCUUCCUCGUCUCCUGAAUCCGCUUCUUCGGCUUCCUCCUCGUCCAUGACUCUCGCUCCUGCCCGCCCCUCCUUCUCGACCUGAGA